Molecule: transfer RNA, 65 nt
Filed under: Pinus taeda (loblolly pine)
Lineage: Eukaryota; Viridiplantae; Streptophyta; Pinopsida; Pinales; Pinaceae
Description: tRNA-Ser
Source: RNAcentral
UUCUUGCUUGCUUGACGUUAGGAAAGCAAGGUCCCGGAGGGGCUUGCGCUUCCUAGUGCAAGGAA